GUGAAUCAGAGGGAUCUCACUGCCAUUUGUGGCUUUCAUUUGCAGGGAGGGACACGUGCAGAUGUCAAGGACCUACUGUAACAGAACCAGGCUAGAAGAACACGUCUCCUCUGAAAUCCCUUGCUGACAUUAAAACAGCGCAGUUACUCCAAGGGCACAAAAUCUCAGUGUACAGGCUGACAGAGACCCAGCGGGGGCCACAGCAUCUGAUCUUUCACACUGCUGCAGCAGCUUCGCUUCUGGAGUAACAAAAGCUGUGGAUCCAAAGGCUUCCCCAGGAUGGGGGCUUGAACGGUGCAGUUGCCAUUGCAUCAGUGUGACUAAAGCCCUGGAUUUCACAGUGAGGAUUGGAGGUCCCCAGAAAAUUUGAACUUCAUGAAGGAAUGUUACAUUAAAAACAAGCACUGUUAAAAAACCCCUACUGAGUAAGUAAUAACACUGUGUUUCUAUUAUAUAAACCUGUUGGCAACCCUGGUUUUAAACACGCUUGCCUCUAGAGCCAGUUGAAAAGCUGGAACAUUUCUCUUGGCUGAAGUAUUUCAACCAGCUCUCAUUGCUACAACCUUUCCUAAAACUACAGCUCUCGUGACUGUCAAAAUCAAGACAAAAAAGAAAGGGAGGUGUGAGGGGAGGAAGGCCUUUUCUUAAUAAAGGCAUCUUCAGUUAGUAAGAUAACA
RNAcentral lists this long non-coding RNA (677 nucleotides) under Calidris pugnax (ruff). Its description in RNAcentral is "lncRNA (ENSCPUG00000000424.1)". Lineage: Eukaryota; Metazoa; Chordata; Aves; Charadriiformes; Scolopacidae. The record is from RNAcentral.